RNAcentral lists this ribosomal RNA (465 nucleotides) under Vreelandella stevensii. RNAcentral's name for it is "partial 16S ribosomal RNA". It matches the Rfam family "Bacterial small subunit ribosomal RNA", at positions 338 to 795 of the family's 1533-position model. The record is from RNAcentral. Lineage: Bacteria; Pseudomonadati; Pseudomonadota; Gammaproteobacteria; Oceanospirillales; Halomonadaceae.
CCUACGGGCGGUAGCAGUGGGGAAUAUUGGACAAUGGGGGCAACCCUGAUCCAGCCAUGCCGCGUGUGUGAAGAAGGCCCUCGGGUUGUAAAGCACUUUCAGUGAGGAAGAACGCCUGGUGGUUAAUACCCAUCAGGAAAGACAUCACUCACAGAAGAAGCACCGGCUAACUCCGUGCCAGCAGCCGCGGUAAUACGGAGGGUGCGAGCGUUAAUCGGAAUUACUGGGCGUAAAGCGCGCGUAGGUGGCUUGAUAAGCCGGUUGUGAAAGCCCCGGGCUCAACCUGGGAACGGCAUCCGGAACUGUCAAGCUAGAGUGCAGGAGAGGAAGGUAGAAUUCCCGGUGUAGCGGUGAAAUGCGUAGAGAUCGGGAGGAAUACCAGUGGCGAAGGCGGCCUUCUGGACUGACACUGACACUGAGGUGCGAAAGCGUGGGUAGCAAACAGGAUUAGAUACCCGAGUAGUC